This 260-nucleotide ribosomal RNA is filed under the name Bergeyella sp. RNAcentral describes it as "partial 23S ribosomal RNA". It matches the Rfam family "Bacterial large subunit ribosomal RNA", at positions 2652 to 2925 of the family's 2925-position model. The record is from RNAcentral. Lineage: Bacteria; Pseudomonadati; Bacteroidota; Flavobacteriia; Flavobacteriales; Weeksellaceae.
GUUAGAUGUUUGAGAGGGCUUGAUUCUAGUACGAGAGGACCGAAUUGAACAAACCUCUGGUGUAUCAGUUGUACCGCCAGGUGCACCGCUGAGUAGCUAUGUUUGGAAAGGAUAAGCACUGAAAGCAUAUAAGUGCGAAACCUGCCUCAAGAUGAGACAUCUUUUAAGGGUCGUGGGAGAUGACCACGUGGAUAGGCUACAGGUGUAAAGCUGGUAACAGCAUAGCCGAGUAGUACUAAUUACCCGUAGAUUUAUAGCCU